This 440-nucleotide ribosomal RNA is filed under the name uncultured bacterium. RNAcentral's name for it is "partial 16S ribosomal RNA". It matches the Rfam family "Bacterial small subunit ribosomal RNA", at positions 338 to 795 of the family's 1533-position model. The record is from RNAcentral.
CCUACGGGUGGCAGCAGUGGGGAAUAUUGGACAAUGGGGGAAACCCUGAUCCAGCGACGCCGCGUGAGCGAAGAAGUAUUUCGGUACGUAAAGCUCUAUCAGCAGGGAAGAAAAUGACGGUACCUGACUAAUAAGCCCCGGCUAACUACGUUCCAGCAGCCGCGGUAAUACGUAGGGGGCCAGCGUUAUCCGGAUUUACUGGGUGUAAAGGGAGCGUAGACGGCAGCGCAAGUCUGGAGUGAAAGGCCGGGGCCCAACCCCGGGACUGCUCUGGAAACUGUGAGGCGGGAGUGUGUGAGAGGUAGGCGGAAUUCCUGGUGUAGCGGUGAAAUGCGUAGAUAUCAGGAGGAACACCGGUGGCGAAGGCGGCGUACGGGACUGUAACUGACGUUGAGGCUCGAAGGCGUGGGGAGCAAACAGGAUUAGAUACCCGGGUAGUC